RNAcentral lists this ribosomal RNA (286 nucleotides) under uncultured bacterium. Its description in RNAcentral is "partial 16S ribosomal RNA". It matches the Rfam family "Bacterial small subunit ribosomal RNA", at positions 223 to 522 of the family's 1533-position model. The record is from RNAcentral.
GGAUGAGCCCGCGGCCUAUCAGCUAGUUGGUGGGGUGAUGGCCUACCAAGGCGACGACGGGUAGCCGGCCUGAGAGGGUGACCGGCCACACUGGGACUGAGACACGGCCCAGACUCCUACGGGAGGCAGCAGUGGGGAAUAUUGCACAAUGGGCGGAAGCCUGAUGCAGCGACGCCGCGUGGGGGAUGACGGCCUUCGGGUUGUAAACCCCUUUCGCCCGGGACGAAGCGAGAGUGACGGUACCGGGAGAAGAAGCACCGGCCAACUACGUGCCAGCAGCGCGGGA